Molecule: ribosomal RNA, 775 nt
Filed under: uncultured Neocallimastigales
Lineage: Eukaryota; Fungi; Neocallimastigomycota; Neocallimastigomycetes; Neocallimastigales
Description: partial large subunit ribosomal RNA
Rfam family: Eukaryotic large subunit ribosomal RNA
Source: RNAcentral
UUAUGUGAUCGUCUCUCGCAUAUCAAUAAGCGGAGGAAAAGAAACUAACAAGGAUUCCCCUAGUAACGGCGAGUGAAGCGGGAAGAGCUCAAAUUUGAAAUCUUAAAGGGUUUCCCUUUACGAAUUGUAGUUUAAAGAAGUGUUUUCUGUUGAGGUUUUGGUAAAAGUUCUUUGGAAUAGGACAUCAUAGAGGGUGAGAAUCCCGUAUUUGACCUUUACUUUCAACUUUGUGAUACACUUUCAAAGAGUCGGAUUGUUUGGGAAUGCAGUCCAAAAUGGGUGGUAAAUUUCAUCCAAAGCUAAAUAUUGGCGAGAGACCGAUAGCGAACAAGUACCGUGAGGGAAAGAUGAAAAGAACUUUGAAAAGAGAGUUAAACAGUACGUGAAAUUGUCAAAAGGGAAGCGUUUGACACCAGUGUUGUUUUUCUGAAAAUCAAUUAAAGAACUGUUUAUGCUAAGUUGUUUAGACUUUAUCAGCUAACUGUUUAGUUUUGAGCUUUUCUUUAAUGCACUUUUCAGUUAACAAGUCAACAUCAAUUUCUUUUGCUGUAAAAAAGCUUGAGGAAGGUGGCUUGAGAUUCGUCUUAAGUGUUUAUAGCCUCUUGCCUAUGCAGUCGGAGAGAUUGAGGUCUGCAGCGUAGAUCCUUCGGGGCUAAAUGCAUUUGUGCUAAGUUAUAACAUUUUAUAGACAACUUGUUGACUAUGAUUUGUCUUGUAGCUUACUCGCUUAUGUUAUUUUACCUACGCUUAGGAUGUUGAAGUCAUCGUAUCGCGC